CAGCCGCCGCGGUAAUACGGAGGGUGCAAGCGUUAUCCGGAUUCACUGGGUUUAAAGGGUGCGUAGGAGGGCAGGUAAGUCAGUGGUGAAAUCUCCAAGCUUAACUUGGAAACUGCCGUUGAUACUAUCUGUCUUGAAUACUGUGGAGGUGAGCGGAAUAUGUCAUGUAGCGGUGAAAUGCUUAGAUAUGACAUAGAACACCAAUUGCGAAGGCAGCUCACUACACAUAUAUUGACUCUGAGGCACGAAAGCGUGGGGAUCAAACAGGAUUAGAUACCCUGGUAGUCCACGCCCUAAACUAUGGAUACUCGACAUACGCGAUAAACUGUGUGUGUCUGAGCGAAAGCAUUAAGUAUCCCACCUGGGAAGUACGACCGCAAGGUUGAAACUUAAAGGAAUUGGCGGG
Molecule: ribosomal RNA, 406 nt
Filed under: uncultured microorganism
Description: bacterial SSU rRNA
Rfam family: Bacterial small subunit ribosomal RNA
Source: RNAcentral